RNAcentral lists this long non-coding RNA (269 nucleotides) under Nicotiana benthamiana. RNAcentral's name for it is "long non-coding RNA (NBEN_LNC038099)". Lineage: Eukaryota; Viridiplantae; Streptophyta; Magnoliopsida; Solanales; Solanaceae. The record is from RNAcentral.
AGGACCCUAACUUUGAAAGUCGGUGAAGGACGGGCGGCAACAUGGUACGGCAUGCGCGCCAAUGGACGGGAAGUCGAUAUGCUAGUAUGUGCAAGCAAGGCCAAGACCUUGGCGCGCAAAGGUUUGCUUGGAAGGGCUUGACAAGGCAGUAUUGGCAAGGACGGGCGGCAGCAUGGCACGGCAUGCGCGCCAAACGGAUGUGCAAGCAAGGCCAAGACCUUGGCAUGGGCAAGGUUUGCUUGGAAGGGCUUGACAAGGCAACGGACNNN